UGGGGAAUAUUGGGCAAUGGGCGCAAGCCUGACCCAGCAACGCCGCGUGAAGGAAGAAGGCUUUCGGGUUGUAAACUUCUUUUCUCAGGGACGAAGCAAGUGACGGUACCUGAGGAAUAAGCCACGGCUAACUACGUGCCAGCAGCCGCGGUAAUACGUAGGUGGCAAGCGUUAUCCGGAUUUACUGGGUGUAAAGGGCGUGUAGGCGGGAAAGCAAGUCAGAUGUGAAAACCAUGGGCUCAACCUGUGGCCUGCAUUUGAAACUGUUUUCUUGAGUACUGGAGAGGCAGACGGAAUUCCUAGUGUAGCGGUGAAAUGCGUAGAUAUAUGGAAGAACACCAGUGGCGAAGGCGGCUGUCUGGUCUGCAACUGACGCUGAGGCUCGAAAGCAUGGGUAGCGAACAGGAUUAGAUACCC
This 417-nucleotide ribosomal RNA is filed under the name uncultured bacterium. RNAcentral's name for it is "bacterial SSU rRNA". It matches the Rfam family "Bacterial small subunit ribosomal RNA", at positions 355 to 787 of the family's 1533-position model. The record is from RNAcentral.